Molecule: long non-coding RNA, 224 nt
Filed under: Sorghum bicolor (sorghum)
Lineage: Eukaryota; Viridiplantae; Streptophyta; Magnoliopsida; Poales; Poaceae
Description: long non-coding RNA (SBIC_LNC002550)
Source: RNAcentral
AGACACACACACACACACACACACACACACACACACACACACACACACACACACACACACACACUCACACACACACACACACACACACACACACACACACAUACACACACAUACACAUAUAUAUAUAUAUAUAUAUACAAAAACAUACACACACACACACACACACACACACACACACACACACACACACACACACACACACACACACACACACACACACAACA